GAUGAACGCUGGCGGCGUGCUUAACACAUGCAAGUCGAACGGAAAGGCCCUGCUUUUGUGGGGUGCUCGAGUGGCGAACGGGUGAGUAACACGUGGGUAACCUGCCCUGAACUUUGGGAUAACUUUGGGAAACUGGGGCUAAUACCGGAUAGGAGCUCGUGUUGCAUGCUGGGGGGUAGAGAGUUUCGGCGGUGUGGGAUGGGCUCGCGGCUUAUCAGCUUGUGGGUGGGGUAGUGGCUUACCAAGGCGUUGACGGGUAGCCGGCCUGAGAGGGUGUCCGGCCACAUUGGGACUGAGAUACGGCCCAGACUCCUACGGGAGGCAGCAGUGGGGAAUAUUGCACAAUGGGCGGAAGCCUGAUGCAGCGACGCCGCGUGGGGGAUGACGGCCUUCGGGUUGUAAACUGCUUUCGCUUGGGACGAAGCGCGAGUGACGGUAACUGGUGAAGAAGCACCGGCUAACUACGUG
Molecule: ribosomal RNA, 468 nt
Filed under: uncultured bacterium
Lineage: Bacteria
Description: partial 16S ribosomal RNA
Rfam family: Bacterial small subunit ribosomal RNA
Source: RNAcentral